RNAcentral lists this long non-coding RNA (241 nucleotides) under Elaeis guineensis (African oil palm). RNAcentral describes it as "long non-coding RNA (EGUI_LNC077899)". Lineage: Eukaryota; Viridiplantae; Streptophyta; Magnoliopsida; Arecales; Arecaceae. The record is from RNAcentral.
UGGAUUUUUAAUGCAAUGAUGGAAGGCUAUUGGGUACAGUCAAAUACUUGCAAAAUUUGUGUGUGGAUCAAGAUGAGAUUGACACCUCCAGAUUAUUGGAGUUGACGAAUCACUAUAUUUCAAUUUAGUAAAGCCUUGGUCAGGGUAAUCCAUGAGAUGGAUUUGAAAGAUUGAAAUAUAAUGUAGAUGAAGCAAUCUCGAUUGACAGUUAAUCUGAGACCAUCUAAGAGCAUCAAGGAUC